This is a long non-coding RNA of Cervus elaphus (red deer), 1430 nucleotides long. RefSeq lists it as uncharacterized. Lineage: Eukaryota; Metazoa; Chordata; Mammalia; Artiodactyla; Cervidae. The record is from RefSeq and is a predicted model, not a curated record. The transcript is spliced from 3 exons.
CGCAGCCUCUGGUCCCGCGGGGGUUUGGGGGGGGUGCACCGGGGAAGGCGGGGGACCCGGGACUUCCAAGUGUCCUCCUGCAUCUCACCUUCCAAGUCAUCUCAGCACGCGGAGCUGAGCUCCCCGUGUUAAACGGUGACUUCUCAGCAGCUGCCUGUUUACACACGGGAGUAAGCUGCUUCCACUUGAGCUUACUGGGGAUUUUGACCUCUGAGAUCCAGGACUAUGCACGGCUGACAUCUGACAGCGACGUCUCCUUGACAUUCCAUGUCCCUGGUGCUCCACAGCCUCGCCCAAGCUCUGGCUCUACAUGACACUGUUUCUAUUAAUUUUUCAAAUAACAAAAUGAAUGUUGAUUAGUCCCUGUUGAGUGUUCCCUGUGUAGGAAAUAUAACUUACAUGUACUUGCUUAUUUUUCCCUGCACAAAACCCUAUGAAGUAUCAUCAUUCCUGUUUUAUAUACAAGGAAACCAAAAACAUGGAGAUGCUAAAAUAAAUAUCCCAAGAUGUCUCAUCUAGGAAAUGCCAGAUCCUGGAGUUGGACCUGCCGGGGUGAUCUGAUUCUCAACUAUUGGUGUCUACAUUUCAAUUGGAUACUUCUUCAAAGGCAAUUCUGUCCAUAUGACUCAUAAAAAAAGUUCACAGCUGGUUUUCCUACCAGCUACAUCAGAGACUCCCUAACUUCAGCCUAAUCAUAGCCCAUGGAAUCUGAAACUAUGAGUCAGCAGAGGUCAAGAAUUUUCAGGGUAGCUGUCCAACGGGAGAAUUUCAAAUAUCAAGCUCCAAGACUGCUCAUUCUCAGAGUGGUCUUUUUAAAAUUUCAUGCAGUUAAAACGUUGUUAUUUGCGUGCUGGGCCUGCUGGGUCUUGGUUGCCGUGAGGACUUUCUCCAGCUACGGUGUCUGUUUCGGCCGGAGGCGUCCCUUCAUAGUGGCUUCUCUCGCAGCAGAGCAUGGGCUCUAGAGAGCAGAUGUCAGUGGUUGUGGCACAUGGGCUCAGCCGCCUUAGGGCAUGUGGCAUCUCCCUGGCCCAGGUAUUGGACCUGUGUUCUCUGCAUUGGCAGGUGGACUCUUAACCACCGGACCUGCAGGGAAACCCUCAGCAAGGCCUUUUAAGUGACGGAUUCAUUGAUCAAUUCAUUCCACAGAUAUUUAUCCAGCCCCUGUAUCUCUUGUGUGCUGAAUACAGUUCUAGAUGCCGAAAAUAGAGCUAUGAUUAAAUUAAUCAAUGACUCAGUGCUCAUAGAGCAUACAUUCUAGCAGGGCAGAUAGAUCAUGAAGAAACAGAUAUAUAUAAUGGAUAAGAUGCCAGGAAUUAAAAUCUAGACCUAGAGGGUGUGGUGUGUUAGGUGGUGUGUGUGUGGGGGCGGAUAAGUCCCUUCAGUCGUGUCCGACUCUUUGCAACCUAUGGACUACCGGCCACCGGGCUCCU